Molecule: ribosomal RNA, 254 nt
Filed under: uncultured bacterium
Lineage: Bacteria
Description: partial 16S ribosomal RNA
Rfam family: Bacterial small subunit ribosomal RNA
Source: RNAcentral
CACGUAGGGGGCGAGCGUUGUCCGGAUUUAUUGGGCGUAACGAGCUCGUAGGCGGCUCGGUAAGUCAGGUGUGAAAACUCUAGGCUCAACCUAGAGACGCCACCUGAUACUGCCGUGGCUAGAGUCCGGUAGGGGAGCAUGGAAUUCCUGGUGUAGCGGUGAAAUGCGCAGAUAUCAGGAGGAACACCAGUGGCGAAGGCGGUGCUCUGGGCCGGAACUGACGCUGAGGAGCGAAAGCGUGGGGAGCAAACAGG